RNAcentral lists this ribosomal RNA (467 nucleotides) under uncultured bacterium. RNAcentral describes it as "bacterial SSU rRNA". It matches the Rfam family "Bacterial small subunit ribosomal RNA", at positions 30 to 490 of the family's 1533-position model. The record is from RNAcentral.
AUUGAACGCUGGCGGCAUGCCUUACACAUGCAAGUCGAACGGCAGCACGGGAGCAAUCCUGGUGGCGAGUGGCGAACGGGUGAGUAAUAUAUCGGAACGUGCCCAGUCGUGGGGAUAACGUAGCGAAAGCUACGCUAAUACCGCAUACGAUCUACAGAUGAAAGCGGGGGAUCGCAAGACCUCGCGCGAUUGGAGCGGCCGAUAUCAGAUUAGGUAGUUGGUGAGGUAAAGGCUCACCAAGCCGACGAUCUGUAGCUGGUCUGAGAGGACGACCAGCCACACUGGGACUGAGACACGGCCCAGACUCCUACGGGAGGCAGCAGUGGGGAAUUUUGGGACAAUGGGCGCAAGCCUGAUCCAGCAAUGCCGCGUGCAGGAUGAAGGCCCUCGGGUUGUAAACUGCUUUUGUACGGAACGAAAAGGUUUCUCUUAAUACGAGGAGCUCAUGACGGUACCGUAAGAAUAAG